This is a non-coding RNA of Plasmodium relictum, 143 nucleotides long. RefSeq annotates it as Plasmodium RNA of unknown function RUF2. The record is from RefSeq and is a predicted model, not a curated record. The transcript has a single exon. Lineage: Eukaryota; Apicomplexa; Aconoidasida; Haemosporida; Plasmodiidae.
AAAAUAUUUCUGUUUAAAUAUUAAAGAUAAUAACUUCAAAUUUGUUCAUAAAUCAAAUGUAUAUACGGUGGCUUUUUAAAUUUUGAAUUUUAAAAGUGUCAAUCCAUAUAUAUCACAGAAAAAAAUAUUUAUUACUAGUUUUU